Molecule: long non-coding RNA, 593 nt
Organism: Ananas comosus (pineapple)
Lineage: Eukaryota; Viridiplantae; Streptophyta; Magnoliopsida; Poales; Bromeliaceae
Exons: 3
Source: RefSeq, a predicted model, not a curated record
UGUAAGUUAUUAAAUACUUUUAAUUUUGAAUUUCAUAAUCUACUAUUCAUUACUUAUGCUUUAGACAAUUAACUAUAAUGGCUAACUUUACAGUCUGAUUAUCUAAAUGAGGAGAGUCUCAUCAUUCCAAUUCCCGAAGUUGUGGAUCCUUAGCUUACUAUCUUUUUUGUAAGGAUGGAGUGAUUUUGAGUUGAAGACUUAAUGUUGUUUUCUAUGCUUUGUUAUGCCACCAUGAUGGCUCUUAAGACAUAUAUGCUGAUAUGCACUUGGUCACUUGGAUUAAUGUUGAAUUUUUAUUUUUUUAUGUUGGUGUAUUUAACUAUUUGAUGUUGUUACUUUUAUGAUACUAUAUUUAGCUAAAUAUGCUUAGCUAACUUCACUUAUCUAAAUAUGCUUAGCUAACUUUUCAAUAUUGAAAAUUUCUUGUUUGAUAUGAUUUUGUUACAUUACAGUAAAAUUGAAUGCUAUUGGUUGUUUGCUUGAGAAAAUAUGCAGGAUUAAGAUGAAAAAGAGCAAUAUGGAGAUUGGAGGCGAAAGAGAAGAUAUGCAAGGCUGCAAGAAAAAUACAAAAGGAAAUUGACAUUCAUUACAAG